CGAUUGAACGCUGGCGGUAUGCUUUACACAUGCAAGUCGAACGGUAACAGGUCUUCGGAUGCUGACGAGUGGCGAACGGGUGAGUAAUGUAUCGGAACGUGCCUAGUAAUGGGGGAGUAACCACUCGAAAGAGUGACUAAUACCGCAUAAUAUCUCAGGAUGAAAGCGGGGGACCGUAAGGCCUCGCGUUAUUAGAGCGGCCGAUAUCAGAUUAGGUAGUUGGUGGGAUAAAAGCCUACCAAGCCAACGAUCUGUAGCUGGUCUGAGAGGACGACCAGCCACACUGGGACUGAGACACGGCCCAGACUCCUACGGGAGGCAGCAGUGGGGAAUUUUGGACAAUGGGCGAAAGCCUGAUCCAGCCAUGCCGCGUGCAGGAUGAAGGCCUUCGGGUUGUAAACUGCUUUUGUACGGAACGAAAAGGUCUUUUCUAAUAAAGAAGGCUGAUGACGGUACCGUAAGAAUAAGCACCGGCUAACUACGUG
This 485-nucleotide ribosomal RNA is filed under the name uncultured bacterium. RNAcentral's name for it is "bacterial SSU rRNA". It matches the Rfam family "Bacterial small subunit ribosomal RNA", at positions 27 to 507 of the family's 1533-position model. The record is from RNAcentral.